UACAGAGGGUGCGAGCGUUAAUCGGAUUUACUGGGCGUAAAGCGUGCGUAGGCGGCUUUUUAAGUCGGAUGUGAAAUCCCCGAGCUUAACUUGGGAAUCGCAUUCGAUACUGGGAAGCUGGAGUAUGGGAGAGGAUGGGAGAAUUCCAGGUGUAGCGGUGAAAUGCGUAGAGAUCUGGAAGAAUACCGAUGGCGAAGGCAGCUAUCUGGCCUAAUACUGACGCUGAGGGACGAAAGCAUGGGUAGCAAACGGG
RNAcentral lists this unclassified non-coding RNA (253 nucleotides) under uncultured Moraxellaceae bacterium. Its description in RNAcentral is "contains 16S-23S intergenic spacer region". It matches the Rfam family "Bacterial small subunit ribosomal RNA", at positions 524 to 776 of the family's 1533-position model. The record is from RNAcentral. Lineage: Bacteria; Pseudomonadati; Pseudomonadota; Gammaproteobacteria; Moraxellales; Moraxellaceae.